RNAcentral lists this transfer RNA (71 nucleotides) under Loxodonta africana (African savanna elephant). It matches the Rfam family "tRNA". Rfam says of the family: Transfer RNA (tRNA) molecules are approximately 80 nucleotides in length. Their secondary structure includes four short double-helical elements and three loops (D, anti-codon, and T loops). Lineage: Eukaryota; Metazoa; Chordata; Mammalia; Proboscidea; Elephantidae. The record is from Rfam by way of RNAcentral.
GCACUAGUAGUUCAGUGGUAGAAUUCUCUCCUUCCAUGUGGGAGACCCUAGUUUGAUCCCUAGCCAAUGCA